RNAcentral lists this ribosomal RNA (459 nucleotides) under uncultured bacterium. Its description in RNAcentral is "partial 16S ribosomal RNA". It matches the Rfam family "Bacterial small subunit ribosomal RNA", at positions 338 to 795 of the family's 1533-position model. The record is from RNAcentral.
CCUACGGGUGGCAGCAGUGAGGAAUAUUGGUCAAUGGACGCAAGUCUGAACCAGCCAGGCCGCGUGCAGGAAGACGGCUUUAUGAGUUGUAAACUGCUUUUGUACGAGGGUAAAUCCCGAUACGUGUAUCGGGUUGAAAGUAUCGUACGAAUAAGGAUCGGCUAACUCCGUAACAUCAGCCGCGGUAAUACGGAUGAUUCAAGCGUUAACCAGAUUUAUUGGGUUUAAAGGGUGCGCAGGCGGAAGAUCAAGUCAGCGGUAAAAUUGAGAGGCUCAACUUCUUCGAGCCGUUGAAACUGGUUUUCUUGAGUGAGCGAGAGGUAUGCGGAAUGCGUGGUGUAGCGGUGAAAUGCAUAGAUAUAACGAAGAACUCCGAUUGCGAAGGCAGCAUACCGGCGCUCAACUGACGCUCAUGCACGAAAGUGUGGGUAUCGAACAGGAUUAGAUACCCCAGUAGUC